AUGAGGUCCAUGGCGGCGGCCACGAGCAACACAUCUGACAACGUGCACAAUGAGAGAGGCGAGGAGGAGACGCGGCGGAUCUUCCUAGUGUGGAAGGCCGAGCUCGGCAAGACCUACAGCUCCGUCGCCGAGGAGGAGGGUGCAUACGACAUGUUCAAGCGCCGCCUCCGCGACAUCGACCAGUGGUGGCACGAGAGCGGCUACUCCGCCUGGUCCUGGGACAAGGAGAGGAGCGAGGAGGAGACCCGGCGGAUCUUCGCGGAGUGGAAGGCCACCAACGGCAAGUUCUACAGCUCCAUCGACCACGAGGAGCACCGGUAA
RNAcentral lists this ribosomal RNA (321 nucleotides) under Triticum aestivum (bread wheat). RNAcentral's name for it is "partial small subunit ribosomal RNA". The record is from RNAcentral. Lineage: Eukaryota; Viridiplantae; Streptophyta; Magnoliopsida; Poales; Poaceae.